Molecule: ribosomal RNA, 460 nt
Filed under: uncultured bacterium
Lineage: Bacteria
Description: partial 16S ribosomal RNA
Rfam family: Bacterial small subunit ribosomal RNA
Source: RNAcentral
CCUACGGGUGGCUGCAGUGAGGAAUAUUGGUCAAUGGACGAGAGUCUGAACCAGCCAAGUCGCGUGAAGGAUGACUGCCCUAUGGGUUGUAAACUUCUUUUAUAAAGGAAUAAAACGAGGCACGUGUGCCUUUUUGCAUGUACUUUAUGAAUAAGGAUCGGCUAACUCCGUGCCAGCAGCCGCGGUAAUACGGAGGAUCCGAGCGUUAUCCGGAUUUAUUGGGUUUAAAGGGUGCGUAGGUGGGUUGUUAAGUAAGUUGUGAAAGUUUGGGGCUCAACCGUCAAAUCGCGGUUGAUACUGGCAGUCUUGAGUAUAGGUGAGGUAUGCGGAAUGCGUGGUGUAGCGGUGAAAUGCUUAGAUAUCACGAAGAACCCCGAUUGCGAAGGCAGCUUACUAACCUGUGACUGACGUUGAGGCACGAAAGUGUGGGUAUCAAACAGGAUUAGAUACCCUGGUAGUC